CAAGCAGCCUGCUUAUUUUGAAACAACUUCCUGGGUUUCACAGAGGAAGCUCCCCAAGAGAGACAGAGAGAUGGGAAGGGCUCCUUGCUGUGACAAGGCUAAUGUGAAGAAAGGGCCAUGGUCACCAGAAGAGGAUGCAAAGCUUAAAGAUUAUAUAGCGAAACAUGGGACAGGAGGAAAUUGGAUUGCUCUUCCUCUGAAGGCUGGUCUUAAAAGAUGUGGG
RNAcentral lists this unclassified non-coding RNA (223 nucleotides) under Hevea brasiliensis (rubber tree). Lineage: Eukaryota; Viridiplantae; Streptophyta; Magnoliopsida; Malpighiales; Euphorbiaceae. The record is from RNAcentral.